This 721-nucleotide long non-coding RNA is filed under the name Pan troglodytes (chimpanzee). RNAcentral describes it as "long non-coding RNA NONPTRT014678". The record is from RNAcentral. Lineage: Eukaryota; Metazoa; Chordata; Mammalia; Primates; Hominidae.
GGCUGAUGAGAGAAGGUAGAUUAUGGGUCUGCCAAGGCUUUUUACUGGUCUCUGUUUAUCUUUUUCUGAGUGCCAAUUCAGCAUGGUCUAGACCAGGAUCAUUUGUUUGCAGGGAUGGAAAACAAACUGAAACUGGCUCAAGUGAAGGCUCACUGGAAGGCUUACUGGAAAACUUACUGGAAGGAUGUGAGGAGAUGUUCGGGAAUCUAUUUGCAGAAAACAUGUUCAGUUGGCAAUGCAAGAUGUUCAGGAUAUGAAACUUUCACCGACCCUUACAUUCCAUACUCCUCGCCAAUGUGUUAUGUCAGAAAUUCUGACAUUCCAAAUUCAUAUUGGUCUUUAUUUUCCUAACUGUUGAAGCAGAAGAUAGAACAGCAAUGCACCCAAGAGUCUGCCCUAGGUCCUCCUCUUCAUACAAUACUUCUAAGAUGUCAAUGGGAACACAUCUAUUGGUGUGCAUCAAGGAAUUACAUCUAUUCACUCACUUAUGAUCUGUAACCCACAAUAAAACACCCUUUUCUCCAAAAAUUAACCAUAUACUAUAGGCUUCUCAGUUGUAUGAGUGUGUGCGUAUACACACAUAUACAUACACCAAGGUAAUAUACCAUAUCCACAUAUACCAAGGUAAAAGAUUCUUUGUGUGGGAUAAGGAAACAGCCCAGUGCUUUUACAUUAAUAAUAUCUUGUUCUUAAUUUACAGCGUUUGUAGCCCUUACCUGAG